This 440-nucleotide ribosomal RNA is filed under the name uncultured bacterium. RNAcentral's name for it is "partial 16S ribosomal RNA". It matches the Rfam family "Bacterial small subunit ribosomal RNA", at positions 338 to 795 of the family's 1533-position model. The record is from RNAcentral.
CCUACGGGUGGCAGCAGUGGGGAAUAUUGCGCAAUGGGGGAAACCCUGAAGCAGCAACGCCGCGUGGAGGAUGAAGGUUUUCGGAUUUUAAACUCCUUUUGUUAGAGAAGAUAAUGACGGUAUCUAACGAAUAAGCACCGGCUAACUCCGUGCCAGCAGCCGCGGUAAUACGGAGGGUGCAAGCGUUACUCGGAAUCAAUGGGCGUAAAGGGCGCGUAGGCGGGAUAGCAAGUCAGAUGUGAAAUCCUAUGGGUUAACCAUAGAACUGCAUUUGAAACUGUUAUUCUAGAGUAGGGGAGAGGUAGGUGGAAUGCUUGGUGUAGCGGUAAAAUCCGUAGAGAUCAAGCGGAAUACUCAUUGCGAAGGCGACCUGCUAGAACAUAACUGACGCUGAUGCGCGAAAGCGUGGGGAGCAAACAGGAUUAGAUACCCUUGUAGUC